This is an RNA transcript of Sesamum indicum (sesame), 1625 nucleotides long. It is a transcript of the gene named Proteasome component (PCI) domain protein, with no coding region annotated. NCBI's taxonomy places the organism in Eukaryota, Viridiplantae, Streptophyta, Magnoliopsida, Lamiales, Pedaliaceae. The record is from RefSeq and is a predicted model, not a curated record.
CCCGGAAGAAACCUUCGUGUAACCCAAACCAAAAAAGAAAGAGAAGAAAGAAAAAGAAGAAAAAGGAGAAAGAGGGGAAGGAAAAAACCCUAGAUUUUCAAUGCUCUGGGGUUUGUUGAAUAUAUACACACAUAUCGCUUUUCUAUAGAGACAAUUAAUACGCGCAAAUCCGCUGUAAUUUCAACAUUUUUUUUCUGUGGAUCGGUAGAAACUUGGAAUCUGAAAUAUGGACAUUGAGCAAAAGCAAGCGGAGCACAUAGACUACUUUGUGAAGCAGGCGUCAAAUCUCAAGGGUACGGCGCUCUCAACUGUCAUCGUUGAGGCUACUUCCCAUCCCUCGCUCUUUGCUUUCUCCGAGAUUAUCGCCGCUUCGAACGUCCUCGAGCUUGAAGGAACUGAGAAUAGCGCUUCGCUUGAUUUGCUACGCAUGUUUGCAUAUGGUACAUGGAGUGAAUAUAAGAGUGCUGCUGACCGUCUUCCACAAUUGGUUCCUGAUCAAGUCCUCAAAUUGAAGCAGCUGACUGUGCUUACUCUGGCAGAGACAAACAAGGUAUUGCCCUAUGAUCUAUUGAUGCAGGAGUUGGAUGUUACAAAUGUUCGGGAGUUGGAAGAUUUUCUCAUCAAUGACUGUAUGUAUGUGGGGAUCGUCAGAGGAAAGCUGGAUCAGCUGCGGAGAUGCUUUGAGGUUCAAUUUGCAGCAGGGAGGGAUCUUAGACCUGGACAGUUGGGUAGUAUGAUUCAGACCCUAGCGAAUUGGCUAUCUACAUCAGAAAAUCUUCUUGUCUCAAUUCAAGAGAAGAUCAAAUGGGCAGAUACCAUGAGUGAGAUAGACAAGAAGCACAAAAAGGAGGUGGAUGAAAGGGUGGAAGAAGUAAAGAAGACGCUGUCUUUGAAGAAGUUACAAACUGUGAGCAGGCAGACGUUGAGUUCCGAGGGCAUGAGGAGAUCUUUUCUGAACAUGGUGGAGUAAUGGACUUUGAGGAAGAUCGUAGUAGCCGCCCGAAGAGGAGACGACAUCCCAUAGGUUGAGAAGAUAUGAUUAAGAGGGGAUCAUAGGGUCAAGUGGUUAGAAGCCGGGUAGGUUGGUUGACCAGUGAAUUACGUUCAUGUCCUUGAGAAAUGGGUAGUUUCCGAGUUCUGAGCUCACCGCAGCACAGAGUCAGACCGGAGAGUUCUGUUCUAUUGGAUUCUGAUUCAUCAUCUUUAGAAGCCAAGGAAAAGUUGUGGCCCCUUUUCAUUGUUUCUUUGGCAUAUAAUGACGUGUAGUUUUAUGAGUUCAAGGGGAAACAUGUAAGCUCUUAUUAUUUCUUUUGGCUGGUGAUUAGAAACAGACAGUUAAGAGCUCAUGUUUCUACGGUUGUUCACAUAUAGGAACGUAUGGAUUGAAGUAUAUUGGUACAACAUCCAAUAACUGCUUUAAACUUUUCUCAAUCACAUCAGCAGAAGUAUGUGCAAGUUUUUGAUAAGAAAACAUGAGCAAGCUUUUUUUUUCAAAAUUUUUUAUAGUUUUAGCAUCAGCAGAAGUAUACGACUAACAGUUUAUAAUUGAGGGUGCUGGGUUCAGAACGUAUUGGGGGUGAAAAAACUCAAGUAUGAGCAAGUUUUUUAUACCCAGGUAAACCAGC